Cynoglossus semilaevis (tongue sole) is the source of this 5443-nucleotide long non-coding RNA. RefSeq lists it as uncharacterized. Lineage: Eukaryota; Metazoa; Chordata; Actinopteri; Pleuronectiformes; Cynoglossidae. The record is from RefSeq and is a predicted model, not a curated record. The transcript is spliced from 3 exons.
GUGAUCAAUCUGUGCUAACUUGGACUCCAUUGCUUCGUUGCUUCUUUGGCCUUUCUGGGUGCCGCUGCUUUUCACCACAUUAAUUAUCACAUUUCUCCAACCCUUAGUGUGAUUCUCUGUAAACAGGAUUAUUAUAACUGCUGCUCCCAGAGCUCAGUCUGUUUCUCCUUCAAACAGUCGUUCAGGCUUCUCUGUCCUCAGCAACAUGUGGAUUUAUGGAAGCGUUUAAAACCAGGUCUGCACAGGAAAAAAAAGAUCCAUAAUGUACCAAAACUUUCACAUCAAUCUACACUGCGGUACUUUUCUGGGGGAGGAAGACACAGUCUGCUGCAUUUGGAAAAAAACAUUGUCCCUUGACAUCACCCCUCUCCAUUCAUAUCAGCCCAAACUCCAGUGGCAUGAAGCCCAGGCUGAGUCACCUCUACCAGUCAUAUUGCAUUGGCCAGAACACAAGUCAUUGUACUGUAGACGGAGGGGAGAGGAAGAGAUGUGGAGGGAGGGGCAGCACACAGACACACAUACACUGUCUGUGGCUCACUAAUAGCAGACAUUUGAUGAGAAGGCCAGUGAGGAGGAAAGGAAUUAAAUAUUCAUUGGCGACGAUGACAAGUUGGGCUGCGACGAAGAGGAUGUGGAACAGAAUCUAAGGCAGCUUUUUGUGGGCGAUGAAAACCAGCGUGAAUGUUCCCGUGUGGGCAGACAAACGCUAAGAGUUGGCCUUUAACACUUUUUUUUGUUGUUGUUUUUUUUACUAUUCACAGCUUAAACCAGUGGUUCUGGAUCUUUUGGAUCUCCCUCUCCCGGAGAUUUAGCAGCUCUGAAGUAAAACUGAGACCAGUCCAGCAUUUAAAUCAAACGUCUGUCUCUGUGAGUCAGAGUGGAGACAUUUCUGCGGAGACACCAGAGAGAGGGGGGAGGAGAGGUGAGAGGAGAGGAGAGGGAGGUGGUAGUGACAUGCAACGACAGUUGUCCCCGACUGAACUUGAAAUGUAGGUGUUGUUUUCAGUUCUGCACAGCAGAUAAUUAAGAACAGACAGGUUUGAUUAAAAGUACAAGGACACGGAAAACCGAUGGAAGUCAAAAAGUUUUAAGACAAAUUAAAAUCUUUGUCUUCUUUAUGUCAGUCUGCUCUCUUCCCCAGUGGUGUUUCCAUCAGAGAAUUUUUUUCUCUGUAGAAUUCUAAAGGAUGACCUUUGACAUCAGGUCACGACCAGCUUCUUGAUCUGGUAUGUGGACAGAAAUUCACUUCUUAUAAAUGUGUUUUCAGUUUUUACCGGAAAUGAAAAGACAGGUAAGUUGAAAUAUGACUCUGCUUCUUUCUAUCAGGCUUGUGAUUUGAUGGUUGCUAGUUUAAAUCCCCCUUUUUUUCCCCUCCAGGGGCGGGUGUCUAUUUUAUUGAUUCAGCGUCUUCACUCGUUAUGGUGAGUCAAAAAUAUUCACUGUUUCACUGGUGCUUUAAAUGCAGAAGUCAAAUUUUAUUCUGUUGUUAAACCAUUUCUUCUCUAAAUAUUUAACGUUGAGUUCAUCAAUUUUUAAAGAUAUUUUUUUUUUCAAAUUUUUUUUUUUUCCAUUGAACGCCCCAACGUACUGGCAAUGUUCUGUUUUUAUAUUCCGGCCUUGGUGAGUUCUUCUGCAGCCGUGAACAUACAAACACACUCCUCGUGUUAUCUGCCAGUCCACAAAUUUCACACCAGUGCCCCCUGGAUUUCCAUUCUUCUGUUUGUGAACAGGUUGAGAAGGUGAAGUCACCUCACCCUUUUAAGUCCUGUCCAAACUUUCAGAGGGUCUCAGUGACCCGGCCACUGGGCCUGAAGCACUCCUCCACUUAGGACCACCUGGAUGGCUGUAGCCCGUCCGUGUGGCUUUGAAAGAUUUUUGAGUGCACAGUGAUAAAAGCUCAGACAUCAGAGUAAUAAAAGGCUGUCAGGCUGUGAGGGAGAUGAAGUCUCUCCCCCUACUCCUCUCCAUCCAUCUCCCUUUGUCUUCCGGCUCCUCUCCAUUCCGUCAAUGCUUUCCUCAGCUCACUGUUCCGAUGCACUGGUGCCACAGUCUAUACUGUGAUCUGUGUGGUCAAUGGAGCCUGACAGGAGGGAGAGGAAGAGUGUCACAGUAGAGGGGGAGGGAGGGGAGGCGUUAUGUGGUGUGUGAGGGAGAAGUUGAUCAGAUUUAAGUUACACGAGUCCUUGAACAAAGUCACAGCGUGGAGGACAGCAGGUGGAGCUGUGGCUGCUGUCGCCCCCGCUCCCCCGGAGGAGGUCUGGUCCAGCGAGCCUCCGUUGGCUGGGACCUCCCCUCAGUCCAUCAGCAGGAUCAGCUGUGAAUGUUAAUGUAAACAUUAGCUUGCAGCGUUAACAGUAUUGAUUAUUGCUCAACUCCUUGUUACAGCUGCCCUUCCAGAGCGAGCGUGGGCCUGAAUUAAUCUAGACUGAAGACAGCGGUGGGAAUAUUAAGAGUUCUGGUGUGAAAAGGUCCGGGUGUGAAGAAAACUCUGCUUUUAAAGGACUAGUACUAGGUUUUAGAGUGUUAGAGUGAACAGUUGACCUAAUCCUGCAGGGGUUUGAAGGUGAGUGUGACUGGAUGCCUGUUAGAUUCUCUGAUGGUGUUUCUAACAGUCAGACUACAGGAUAGUGUAGUUAGACUUGGGCUAAAAAAAGUGAUCAGACAGUACUGCAGCUGACCACUAUGUGUCACACUGGAGUUCCACAUCUGUCCAGUGCAGUGAUGAAUGUUCAGAGUGUGGGCGAGACUCCAUUUUCAUGAGGUUUGUUUUAGUGAUGGUGAAGGCUCAGCUUGGACCACACAUCAAACCAGACACGAUGUCACGUCUGGACUCGGAGUCGGUGAUGAGCACAUCUGUCACCGUCGUCCCAUCGAGGCCGGCGUUUGAGAUCUAUAAAUACAUCGUGGCUUUUUGAAAAAUCCCAUCUUUCAGGAUGAUGGAGGAUAAUGAAAGGGGGAGGAAAGGCGGGAUUAAAGUUUUCCACGUCUCACCCUUCACACUCUGCCGAGCAGUGGUUGGAGGACGGGGGUGAGGAUGAUGAUGCUGCCACCAGAUAACACACACACACACGUGUUCUGAUAAGGUGGAGAGAAGUGGUUUUCAGAUUAAUUAGAUUAAUUAAACAGGGAAACAGUCGGAAAGGUGAGAACAUGAGAGGGGUUGUGUUCUCAUUUAAUUUGAUAGGUGAGCUGUGAACACCAUCAGGAGGGGCGGUAGUGAGGGCGUGUGUGUGUUCCCGGUAUAGCUAUACCUGUGGGGACACUUGUCUAUAGAUUGGAUGUGAUUAUGUUUGAUUAGAUGAAAUGAAACCUUUGUCUGUCCAACAUGUCUGUCAGGACAGUUUGGAGGUCUCCACUGGGUGAGACAGUAUUUGGAGUCUCAAAUUAGGAUUACUGUUAAAGUCACAUGAGAGUAAGGAAUAAGAUUAGACCUGAGGAGCUAAAGAAAGUUUAUGUGGAGUACUUACUAAAGUGUUCGUGUGUACCUACCCAACCCAAAAGGACACCUGGUCCUUCCCAGAAACUGAUAGCAGGAUAGUAAAAAGGUUAUAUAAUCUAAUAAUUUAUGAUACUUCAUUUGUAAAAUUACAAUGUUUAUAUUUUUAAACCAAGUGCUUUUCGUCCAUAAUCUCAGUGUACAUCCUCUUAUUAUUUCUUGAACACACAGUUAAUCCAUGUUAUUUUAACAGACUGCAGGAACACCUCAAGCUUCAAAUAUCAAAUACUUCUACCUGCUGUUAUUUGUCUCCCUCUCUGAGUAACGUACCAGAAAACCUUUUUUUGUCUUCCUUUGUCUCAUUUUUGUGACCAAAUCCUUCCAUCGCAGCCUUCCGUUUGUCCUAACAUGUCCUGUCUCCCCCCAACACUGGUCUCUAUCCUCUGACUCUGUGUGUGAAUAAUACAUGAUCAGCCUCUCAGGUUCUGGACAUGGAGUCAGAAUAAGGUUCUUGGUCUGCUCUGUUUCUCCUCCUGCUCCACUCCUGGGACCUGGGCUGGUCAGAGUGGAAUACUGAGCGACCACAUAUUCCACUCAUCAUCAGGGAUUCAUGAUUCAGGAUGUUUAUUUUCAAAUUCACGUCUGGACUGUUGCAGGGAGCUGGAGGAACUCCUGACACACACAGGGAGAACAGGAGAACCAACCUACCUCCACCACGUGGUCAACGUGACAUCAUAAUUGGGACAAAUGGGAGGGAGGUUCCUCUCUAAUUGAUGACCUCAUCGCUGAUGUCUCCCCCGUCAUUAUCAGUCGACUCCCAUUCUGCAACUCCGGGGUCACGGGGUGACCUCUGCUUCUGUACAGAGCAGCAUUCAACUGAUCCAAGCCCAGCCGACCACCGUAUGCUGUGCUAGCUGUCAUCUGUCAGAUGCCAGGUUGGACACACACACAAACACACACACAUUUCAAAGGGACACAUGGUCUUUGAAAGCACACACUGCCACCAGCUGCUGUUUGAUGAUACAAACAGAGAACAGGUUGGUCACGGACGCAGCCGUGGAGCAGUCAGGAGUGUCAGGUUGUCUGAGAUCAUUAUCAGUGAACCUGGCCGAGCCUCUGUACUUCCACUUUGUGAGCUGUCUGGACCUUCUUCAGGAGAAGGGUUUGAAGGAAAAGAUUCAAUAAUUCAUAGAACAUCAUGUCCCAUAAGUCUCCAGGUGAUAAUGAUGUCCGACCUUGGGGCGGCUUUUCAAAUCUUCAUCUAGUUAGGUUUCUGUGCAUUUGGAGUAUCAGCAGGUACGUAUGUAUUCGUGAUUAAUCACGAUUAUUCAUGAUUAAUCAUGAUAAAUUGAGAAUCCCAAACAUGACAACAAAAAAGCUGGAACAAGAAGUCAAGUAACAGCCAAUAAUUAAUUAAAAUCACAAUCAAAAAUAUUACAUCAUAAAAAUACUGUAUAUCAAAACAAUGGAGAAGAGUUGCUGUGUGUUUCAAUACAGAGUCCAGUGAAUAAAAAAUGUUAUUAUUAUUAUUAUUAUUUGAUUUUCUAUUUCUCUGUGGGUUUGCAGUAUCGCCCUCUCCGACAGAUGGCGCCGUAGAGGACAGUCUAUGCAACCAAAGCCAACAGUCAACCUUAAAUCUGGUUUUGAAAUGUUUUUGGAUGCAGGUGUUUGAACCAGAGAUCUUCAUGCUGAAAGGCAAGAGCUCCACUCCCUUGUUACGUAUGCAUAUUGAUUGAUUGAUUCAUUCAUUCAUUCAUUCAUUCAUUGAUUUGAAGUACACAAAGUUUAGUCUGGAUUUUAUUCAAUUACAAAUAUUAACUUCCCUUUGAUUAUUUCCACUGACAUCUCUGAUUUUCAAACACAUUACUUUCAUAUCAAACUUUUACACUUUUAUUACAAUAUACUCAACAGGAAGUUAGAGAGGCGUCAUUAGUGACAACCCAUUCAUAUGGUCUCGUAUGUUAACACCCCACACUCAACUCCACGUCCACUCGCUCAUGCACCUAC